CCUACGGGCGGCUGCAGUGGGGAAUAUUGCACAAUGGGCGCAAGCCUGAUGCAGCCAUGCCGCGUGUGUGAAGAAGGCCUUCGGGUUGUAAAGCACUUUCAGCGGGGAGGAAGGCGGUGAGGUUAAUAACCUCAUCGAUUGACGUUACCCGCAGAAGAAGCACCGGCUAACUCCGUGCCAGCAGCCGCGGUAAUACGGAGGGUGCAAGCGUUAAUCGGAAUUACUGGGCGUAAAGCGCACGCAGGCGGUCUGUCAAGUCAGAUGUGAAAUCCCCGGGCUCAACCUGGGAACUGCAUUCGAAACUGGCAGGCUAGAGUCUUGUAGAGGGGGGUAGAAUUCCAGGUGUAGCGGUGAAAUGCGUAGAGAUCUGGAGGGAUACCGGUGGCGAAGGCGGCCCCCUGGACAAAGACUGACGCUCAGGUGCGAAAGCGUGGGGAGCAAACAGGAUUAGAUACCCUAGUAGUC
This 465-nucleotide ribosomal RNA is filed under the name uncultured Klebsiella sp. Its description in RNAcentral is "bacterial SSU rRNA". It matches the Rfam family "Bacterial small subunit ribosomal RNA", at positions 338 to 795 of the family's 1533-position model. Lineage: Bacteria; Pseudomonadati; Pseudomonadota; Gammaproteobacteria; Enterobacterales; Enterobacteriaceae. The record is from RNAcentral.